Molecule: ribosomal RNA, 376 nt
Filed under: uncultured bacterium
Lineage: Bacteria
Description: bacterial SSU rRNA
Rfam family: Bacterial small subunit ribosomal RNA
Source: RNAcentral
AUACGGAGGGUGCAAGCGUUAAUCGGAAUUACUGGGCGUAAAGCGCACGCAGGCGGCUUUUUAAGUCGGAUGUGAAAGCCCCGGGCUCAACCUGGGAAUUGCAUCUGAUACUGGGAAGCUAGAGUAUGUGAGAGGGGGGUAGAAUUCCAAGUGUAGCGGUGAAAUGCGUAGAGAUUUGGAGGAAUACCAGUGGCGAAGGCGGCCCCCUGGCACAAUACUGACGCUCAGGUGCGAAAGCGUGGGGAGCAAACAGGAUUAGAUACCCUGGUAGUCCACGCCGUAAACGAUGUCUACUAGCUGUUCGCGGCCUUGUGUUGUGAGUAGCGCAGCUAACGCAUUAAGUAGACCGCCUGGGGAGUACGGUCGCAAGAUUAAA